UUCAGUUCAGAAAUUGAAAAC
This 21-nucleotide non-coding RNA is filed under the name Caenorhabditis elegans. Lineage: Eukaryota; Metazoa; Nematoda; Chromadorea; Rhabditida; Rhabditidae. The record is from RNAcentral.